CGAGUACGACCCGUUACGACGGGGAAGUGUCUGAUGUCAGGCUUCCAAGAAAAGCCCGAACCACGUUAAUUCAAAUUGGCCCGUACCCUAAACCGACACAGGUGGGAAGGUAGAGUAUACCCAGGGGCGCGAGAUAACUCUCUCUAAGGAACUCGGCAAAAUGGCCCCGUAACUUCGGGAGAAGGGGUGCCACCGAGAGGUGGUCGCAGUGAAGAGUCCCAGGCGACUGUUUACCAAAAACACAGGUCUCCGCUAAGUCGCAAGACGAUGUAUGGGGGCUGACGCCUGCCCAGUGCCGGAAGGUUAAGGAAGUUGGUCAGGGAGCAAUCCUGAAGCUAGCGACUGAAGCCCCGGUGAACGGCGGCCGUAACUAUAACAGUCCUAAGGUAGCGAAAUUCCUUGUCGGGUAAGUUCCGACCCGCACGAAAGGCGUAACGAUCUGGGAGCUGUCUCGGAGAGAGGCUCGGCGAAAUAGGAAUGUCUGUGAAGAUACGGACUACCUGCACCCGGACAGAAAGACCCUAUGAAGCUUUACUGUAGCUUGGUAUUGGGUUCGGGCUUUGAUUGCGCAGGAUAGGUGGGAGACUAUGAGAUAGCUCUUGUGGGAGUUAUGGAGUCACUGGUGAGAUACCACUCUAUCAAGGCUAGAAUUCUAACUUUGACCCGUUAUCCGGGCAGAGAACAGUAUCAGGUGGGCAGUUUGACUGGGGCGGUCGCCUCCUAAAUGGUAACGGAGGCGCGCAAAGGUUCCCUCAGGCUGGUUGGAAAUCAGCCAUUGAGUGUAAAGGCAUAAGGGAGCUUGACUGCGAGACUGACAAGUCGAGCAGGUACGAAAGUAGGCCUUAGUGAUUCGACGGUUCCGCGUGGAAGGGCCGUCGCUCAACGGAUAAAAGUUACUCUAGGAUAACAGGCUGAUCUCCCCCAAGAGUUCACAUCGGCGGGGAGGUUUGGCACCUCGAUGUCGGCUCAUCGCAACCUGGGGCUGUAGUCGGUCCCAAGGGUUGGGCUGUUCGCCCAUUAAAGCGGUACGUGAGCUGGGUUCAGAACGUCGUGAGACAGUUCGGUCCAUAUCCGGUGCAGGCGUAGGAACAUUGAGAGGAGUCUUCCUUAGUACGAGAGGACCGGGAAGAACGCACCGCUGGUGUACCUGUUAUCGUGCCAACGGUAAACGCAGGGUAGCCAAGUGCGGAGAGGAUAACCGCUGAAAGCAUCUAAGUGGGAAGCCCACCUCAAGAUGAGUGUUCCCAUGGCAAAAGCCAGUAAGGUCACGGGUAGACCACCCGUUAAUAGGCGCUAGAUGGAAGUCCAGCAAUGGAUGUAGUCGAGGCGUACUAACAGACC
RNAcentral lists this ribosomal RNA (1341 nucleotides) under metagenome. RNAcentral's name for it is "bacterial LSU rRNA". It matches the Rfam family "Bacterial large subunit ribosomal RNA", at positions 1564 to 2910 of the family's 2925-position model. The record is from RNAcentral.